CGUAUAUUAAAGUUGUUGCAGUUAAAAAGCUCGUAGUUGGAUUUGUGGCGUAUGGUGUGUUCCGGGCACUUGUUGUCUGAGUAACCUGCUGUUGCCAUCCUUGGGUGGAACCUGUGUGGCAUUAGGUUGUCGUGCAGGGGAUGCCCAUCAUUUACUGUGAAAAAAUUAGAGUGUUCAAAGCAGGCUUAUGCCGUUGAAUGUAUUAGCAUGGAAUAAUGAGAUAGGACUUUUUUACUAUUUUGUUGGUUUGCGUAAAGAGGUAAUGAUUAAUAGGGACAGUUGGGGG
This 286-nucleotide ribosomal RNA is filed under the name uncultured diatom. Its description in RNAcentral is "partial 18S ribosomal RNA". It matches the Rfam family "Eukaryotic small subunit ribosomal RNA", at positions 598 to 888 of the family's 1831-position model. Lineage: Eukaryota; Bacillariophyta. The record is from RNAcentral.